UGCUGUUUCUGACCUUCCCAACAUAGUGUAACUCCUGGAGUGUCCAGAAGGAGGCGAUCUUGACAUUUACUCCUUUGCCCACAGAGCUCCAGGAAGUGGUGGGUCUGGGUAUGCAGCCCAUGCUAGCCUUGAACUCUCCAACCUUCUGGUUUAGCCUCCCAAGUGCUGGAACCACAGACCCUCUCUUGGCCUUGACUGAAGUUCUACACUCCCCACCCGGCUUGGACAGAAUUCCAGAAGGUCAUCGGCUACCAGUGCGAACCGAGAAGAAGAAACAGAAAAGCAGUCCCAAACCACAGAGACACACCCGAUGGCUGCAGAGAAGCAGCCUGGCGUCAGCCCACGCGAUGGCCUGAGGAUGUCACCUGAGUCAGCCAAGAUGUUCGCAGAUGGCCUCACGCCAAGAAUGUGUCCUCCAUGUUCUUCUUCGGUGCCCCCCUGGUGCCCACCCCAUCCUUGGAGUCUGAGAUUUCCAUGCACGGACCCUCCCAGAGUGAGAACAGAGCCAGGCUGGGAAUCCUGUGAGGGGCUGUGAGGUCAGCUGGCUUGGUGGCCCAGCCUCCCACAAUGCCCUGGGCUUCCCACCACUAGCUCAGCAUAGGCUUUGGAACAGCAUUGCUAAGAUCCGAGUCCCAGUGACCACUUGCUUGGUGUGUGACCUCAGACCUGCUCUGUACGUUAAAAUGUGGUGAAACGGCCCUAGCUGGCAGGUUUGCUGUGGACAGUAAAUAAAAGCUGAGGACCCUGCGAAGCAAGCAGUCAGUA
This is a long non-coding RNA of Peromyscus eremicus (cactus mouse), 765 nucleotides long. RefSeq lists it as uncharacterized. The record is from RefSeq and is a predicted model, not a curated record. The transcript has 5 exons. Lineage: Eukaryota; Metazoa; Chordata; Mammalia; Rodentia; Cricetidae.